Molecule: ribosomal RNA, 253 nt
Filed under: uncultured bacterium
Lineage: Bacteria
Description: partial 16S ribosomal RNA
Rfam family: Bacterial small subunit ribosomal RNA
Source: RNAcentral
UACGUAGGGUGCAAGCGUUGUCCGGAAUUAUUGGGCGUAAAGAGCUCGUAGGCGGUUAGUCGCGUCUGCUGUGAAAACUCGGGGCUUAACUCCGGGCCUGCAGUGGGUACGGGCUGACUAGAGUGCGGUAGGGGAGACUGGAAUUCCUGGUGUAGCGGUGAAAUGCGCAGAUAUCAGGAGGAACACCGGUGGCGAAGGCGGGUCGCUGGGACGUAACUGACGCUGAGACGCGAAAGCGUGGGGAGCAAACAGG